RNAcentral lists this long non-coding RNA (1416 nucleotides) under Zonotrichia albicollis (white-throated sparrow). RNAcentral's name for it is "lncRNA (ENSZALG00000012276.1)". The record is from RNAcentral. Lineage: Eukaryota; Metazoa; Chordata; Aves; Passeriformes; Passerellidae.
UUUUGCUAGAACAGUGUAGAGCCUGGGGAAUUUACACUUCACUCUUAUCCCUCUAUCACAACAGAGCUCUGGUCUUGUGAGCAGCAAAGGACUCACCAGUCACCAGCUCCAGAGUUCCAGCCAGCUGCAGACCCCUCCCACUGUUUAUAUGAAGCAGUUUUACAAAAGCAGAGAUCCUGCCAUUCCUCCUGACAGGUCCAGUUGCACACUCCAUGUAUCAUGGUCAUCUGUGGAUGAUGCUUGAGAAAACAUCAGUGAAAGAGAGAGGGGCUGAGAGGUGCAAUAUAGCUGAGCUCAAAGGGACAGCAGCAAGGAUUCUGCUGAAACUUCACUCAAAAUCUUCAUCACUCCUGGGAAGGCUGGACCAGCUAGAAAGAGUGUUUUCUCCAAGGCAAAGUGACAGCACUGCAAAUUGAAGACAGACUUUGAGAAAGAUUGGAGAAUGCAAUGAAUUGACACCAAGCAUGAAGCUCAUGACAGGCUGACACAAGAAUUAAAGGAAAACUCAUUCACUGGAGAAGCAAACAGGUGGACAUCUCUACUGGAAUUGAAAAACUCAGAUGGAAAAAACCUGACACAACAAAACCUGGGGAACAAAAAGGGAGAGCACUCUGAAGGGUUUCAGGAGCUCCAGACACAAAGUUUGAACAAAUGACAUCGAAGAAAUAUCUUCUAACACAGUCACUUUCCUUGGAGACUGAAAGGUUGAUUGGGUUAGCUGUCUCUAAGGAACACUGAGGCCAAGAGGACUGUUCUAGAACCACUUUAAUAUAAACAUGAUACCCAGUUUGUUCUAGGUUACCUUCAUGGGGCUUGUGUCCAGGAAUUUGAUACUGCUGAGUCCCAGAAUGGACCAACUCCUCCUCCUCCUCCUCCUCUGAGAGCACAGGUUCUCCAUGAUGUGUUUCAGCCAGGACACUGCUGACCUUGAGGGCUGUGUGCAGUUUUAGGCACCGCAGUGCAAGGGAGAUAUUAAACUAUUAGACAGUAUCCAAAGCAGAGUAACCAGGACAGUGAAGGGUCUGGAGGCCACAUGAGCACUGAAGGCACUUGGUCUGUUCAGCCUAGACUGAGGAGAGACCUCAUUGCAAUUACAGCUUCCUCAUGAGAGGAAGAAGAGGGGCAGGCAGGUUCUCUGCCCUGUGGUGACAGUGACAGGGAAUGAAUGGCCUGAAGUUGUGCCAGGGGAGGUUUAGGUGGGAUACCAGAAAAGGUUUUUCACCCAGAGGGUGUUUGAGCACUGGAAAAGGCUCCCCAGGGCAGUGGUCACAGCACUGAGCCUGGCAGAGUUCAAUACGUGGGGACAAUGCUCUCAGGGACAGGGUGUGACUCUUGGGGUGUCCUGUGCAGGGCCAGGAGCUGGAUGUGAUAAUCCUUGUGGUUUCCUUCCCUGUGAAAUUUCAGAGGAACAAAACC